RNAcentral lists this ribosomal RNA (527 nucleotides) under uncultured bacterium. RNAcentral describes it as "partial 16S ribosomal RNA". It matches the Rfam family "Bacterial small subunit ribosomal RNA", at positions 355 to 874 of the family's 1533-position model. The record is from RNAcentral.
UGGGGAAUUUUGGACAAUGGGCGAAAGCCUGAUCCAGCAAUGCCGCGUGUGUGAAGAAGGCCUUCGGGUUGUAAAGCACUUUUGUCCGGAAAGAAAUCCUUGGCUCUAAUACAGUCGGGGGAUGACGGUACCGGAAGAAUAAGCACCGGCUAACUACGUGCCAGCAGCCGCGGUAAUACGUAGGGUGCAAGCGUUAAUCGGAAUUACUGGGCGUAAAGCGUGCGCAGGCGGUUUGCUAAGACCGAUGUGAAAUCCCCGGGCUCAACCUGGGAACUGCAUUGGUGACUGGCAGGCUAGAGUAUGGCAGAGGGGGGUAGAAUUCCACGUGUAGCAGUGAAAUGCGUAGAGAUGUGGAGGAAUACCGAUGGCGAAGGCAGCCCCCUGGGCCAAUACUGACGCUCAUGCACGAAAGCGUGGGGAGCAAACAGGAUUAGAUACCCUGGUAGUCCACGCCCUAAAACGAUGUCAACUAGUUGUUGGGAAUUCAUUUCCUUAGUAACGUAGCUAACGCGUGAAGUUGACCGCCU